GACGAACGCUGGCGGCGUGCUUAACACAUGCAAGUCGAACGGUGAAGCGCCUUCCUUUUUGGUGGGUGUGGAUGAGUGGCGAACGGGUGAGUAACACGUGAGUAACCUGCCCCCUUCUUCUGGAUAACCGCAUGAAAGUGUGGCUAAUACGGGAUAUUCUGGGUCUGUCGCAUGAUGGGUCUGGGAAAGAUAUUGUUUCGGUGGGGGAUGGGCUCGCGGCCUAUCAGCUUGUUGGUGGGGUGAUGGCCUACCAAGGCGGUGACGGGUAGCCGGCCUGAGAGGGUGGACGGUCACACUGGGACUGAGACACGGCCCAGACUCCUACGGGAGGCAGCAGUGGGGAAUAUUGCACAAUGGGAGCAAGCCUGAUGCAGCGACGCCGCGUGAGGGAUGGAGGCCUUCGGGUUGUGAACCUCUUUCGCCAGUGAAGCAGGCCUGCCUCGUUUGUGGGUGGGUUGACGGUAGCUGGAUAAGAAGCGCCGGCUAACUACGU
Molecule: ribosomal RNA, 493 nt
Filed under: uncultured bacterium
Lineage: Bacteria
Description: partial 16S ribosomal RNA
Rfam family: Bacterial small subunit ribosomal RNA
Source: RNAcentral